This 849-nucleotide ribosomal RNA is filed under the name Alternaria longipes. Its description in RNAcentral is "eukaryotic LSU rRNA". It matches the Rfam family "Eukaryotic large subunit ribosomal RNA", at positions 68 to 935 of the family's 3401-position model. The record is from RNAcentral. RNAcentral also lists the same sequence under 1 other name. Lineage: Eukaryota; Fungi; Ascomycota; Dothideomycetes; Pleosporales; Pleosporaceae.
ACAGGGAUUGCCCUAGUAACGGCGAGUGAAGCGGCAACAGCUCAAAUUUGAAAUCUGGCUCUUUUAGAGUCCGAGUUGUAAUUUGCAGAGGGCGCUUUGGCUUUGGCAGCGGUCCAAGUUCCUUGGAACAGGACGUCACAGAGGGUGAGAAUCCCGUACGUGGUCGCUGGCUAUUGCCGUGUAAAGCCCCUUCGACGAGUCGAGUUGUUUGGGAAUGCAGCUCUAAAUGGGAGGUACAUUUCUUCUAAAGCUAAAUAUUGGCCAGAGACCGAUAGCGCACAAGUAGAGUGAUCGAAAGAUGAAAAGCACUUUGGAAAGAGAGUCAAACAGCACGUGAAAUUGUUGAAAGGGAAGCGCUUGCAGCCAGACUUGCUUGCAGUUGCUCAUCCGGGUUUUUACCCGGUGCACUCUUCUGUAGGCAGGCCAGCAUCAGUUUGGGCGGUAGGAUAAAGGUCUCUGUCACGUACCUCCUUUCGGGGAGGCCUUAUAGGGGAGACGACAUACUACCAGCCUGGACUGAGGUCCGCGCAUCUGCUAGGAUGCUGGCGUAAUGGCUGUAAGCGGCCCGUCUUGAAACACGGACCAAGGAGUCUAACAUCUAUGCGAGUGUUUGGGUGUCAAGCCCGAGCGCGUAAUGAAAGUGAACGGAGGUGGGAACCCGCAAGGGUGCACCAUCGACCGAUCCUGAUGUCUUCGGAAGGAUUUGAGUAAGAGCAUGGCUGUUGGGACCCGAAAGAUGGUGAACUAUGCUUGAAUAGGGUGAAGCCAGAGGAAACUCUGGUGGAGGCUCGCAGCGGUUCUGACGUGCAAAUCGAUCGUCAAAUUUGGGCAUAGGGGCGAAAGACUAAU